AUACGUAUGGGGCAAGCGUUAUCCGGAAUUAUUGGGCGUAAAGAGUGCGUAGGUGGUUACCUAAGCGCAAGGUUUAAUCUUGAGGCUCAACCUCAUUCUGCCUUGCGAACUGGGCUACUUGAGUGCAGGAGGGGAAAGCGGAAUUCCCAGUGUAGCGGUGAAAUGCGUAGAUAUUGGGAAGAACACCGGUGGCGAAGGCGGCUUUCUGGACUGUAACUGCCACUGAGGCACGAAAGCGUGGGGAGCAAACAGGAUUAGAUGCCCUGGUAGUCCACGCCGUAAACGAUGAGCACUAGUUGUUGGGUACGAAUGUAUUCAGUGACGCAGUUAACGCAAUAAGUGCUCCGCCUGGGGAGUACGGUGGCAACACUAAAACUCAAAUGAAUUGACGGGG
RNAcentral lists this ribosomal RNA (394 nucleotides) under uncultured bacterium. RNAcentral's name for it is "partial 16S ribosomal RNA". It matches the Rfam family "Bacterial small subunit ribosomal RNA", at positions 523 to 918 of the family's 1533-position model. The record is from RNAcentral.